UACGGAGGGGGCUAGCGUUGUUCGGAAUUACUGGGCGUAAAGCGCACGUAGGCGGCUUUGCAAGUUAGCGGUGAAAGCCCGGGGCUCAACCCCGGAAUUGCCUUUAAGACUGCAUCGCUUGAAUCCGGGAGAGGUGAGUGGAAUUCCGAGUGUAGAGGUGAAAUUCGUAGAUAUUCGGAAGAACACCAGUGGCGAAGGCGGCUCACUGGACCGGUAUUGACGCUGAGGUGCGAAAGCGUGGGGAGCAAACAGG
RNAcentral lists this ribosomal RNA (253 nucleotides) under uncultured bacterium. Its description in RNAcentral is "partial 16S ribosomal RNA". It matches the Rfam family "Bacterial small subunit ribosomal RNA", at positions 524 to 776 of the family's 1533-position model. The record is from RNAcentral.